Molecule: ribosomal RNA, 53 nt
Filed under: Liparis krameri
Lineage: Eukaryota; Viridiplantae; Streptophyta; Magnoliopsida; Asparagales; Orchidaceae
Also listed under: 4 other names
Description: partial 28S ribosomal RNA
Source: RNAcentral
GCGACCCCAGGACGGGCGAGGGCACCCGCUGAGUUUAAGCAUAUCAAUAAGCG